RNAcentral lists this small RNA (93 nucleotides) under Streptococcus hyointestinalis. RNAcentral describes it as "Trans-activating crRNA". It matches the Rfam family "Trans-activating crRNA". From Rfam's summary of the family: RNA-guided Streptococcus pyogenes Cas9 (SpCas9) is a sequence-specific DNA endonuclease, the Trans-activating CRISPR RNA form an hybrid with the crRNA (crRNA/tracrRNA). Lineage: Bacteria; Bacillati; Bacillota; Bacilli; Lactobacillales; Streptococcaceae. The record is from RNAcentral.
GUUGGAACUAUUCGAAACAACACAGCGAGUUAAAAUAAGGCUUAGUCCGUAAACAACUUUGCAAAAAAGUAGGCACCGAAUCGGUGCCUUUUU